Molecule: ribosomal RNA, 295 nt
Filed under: uncultured bacterium
Lineage: Bacteria
Description: partial 16S ribosomal RNA
Rfam family: Bacterial small subunit ribosomal RNA
Source: RNAcentral
GGAUUAGAUACCCUGGUAGUCCACGCCGUAAACGAUGAGUGCUAGGUGUCUGCUCAUACGAGUAGGUGCCGUACGUUAACACAUUAAGCACUCCGCCUGGGGAGUACGUACGCAAGUAUGAAACUCAAAGGAAUUGACGGGGACCCGCACAAGCAGCGGAGCAUGUGGUUUAAUUCGAGGCUACGCGAAGAACCUUACCAGGACUUGACAUACCAAGGAAAGUUUUUAGAGAUAAAAACCCUAGAUUUAUCUACCUUGGAUACAGGUGGUGCAUGGUUGUCGUCAGCUCGUGCCG